CAAAAAAAAAAAAAAAAAGGUAACUCUAAUGGAUACAAAACAAACUGAACAUGCUAGUCCUUAAAUGUCACUAGAACAAUCAAAAUAAAACCUGUACACCACAUGAAAUUCAAUUCAAGCUCAAAUCUAGAUACCAAACCCAUAAGUAAUACUACACAAUCAAAGGCAUACUGGAGAGGCACAGGUCACUAAGUUCAACAACAUAUUCAGAGUACAUCUAAAAUCACCAGUAACUAGGCAAGAUUAUAAAAAGACAAUUAAUGGAUAGUACAAGUUAACACCAGCAAAAGUAAGAUUAUUUAUCAAAGCAAACAAAAGCAAAUUUAUCAAAGCAAGCAAAAGUAACAUAUACCUUAUUCAAAUCGCAGCAAACAAAACUGAAAAAUCGAUUUACGAACAUGAACAGGAAAAACAUAAAACUAAAUGGAUAAGUCUGCUAGAAAGCAUCUAGGAGUGAUUAAACAUGCUUAAGAAAACAUAUACAUAUAUACUCUUCAGCUGAUUCGAUUUUAGAGAUUACGCUACAAUCAGAUUUAUUACCUGAUUCACAUUCCAUAUAUCUAAAUUCUAACCUUUUUAUACUUGUGAGAAUCAUUCUUACUUAUCCUUGAGAGGCAAUUGCAAAAACAAGCCCUUGAUCAUUCUGAUAGUUAUCACGCUUUCUUUGGUAUGCGACACAUUGUGGAAUGAUCCUUUGCAAAUAAUUUCAUACAUCAGAAGUUGUAAUGUUGAUGACAACUAGCAAGAUUGCACUUUGCAAUUCCACCAAAAUCCAAAGAAAUUCUGUUUUGAAACCUAACAGUCUCAGAUUUAACAGAAACCUAUUACAAAUAAUAACUGCAAUUCUCCAUCCCUAAAGUGAUGAAACCUAUUUCUAUCUCUCACAAAAAUUCCUCCCAUACUACUUUUGAAAUGUAGUUGAAGGCGAGGUUGUACCUCAGAAGUCCAUCAAAAGCCAAACAAAUUUGUUAUUUGAACCGUAACUGUCUCACAUUUUAUAAGAAACUGCUCACCAAUAAUCACCACAAGAGCAUUCACCAUCCUUGAAGUGAUGAAACCUCUUUCCAUCUCUCACAACAAUUUCCCUCCUAACAACUUUUGACAUAUAUUUGAUCGCAUUAUGGCAAUCACCACAGAUCCUAAGGUUCUUGAAAACCCUGAUGGUGGCUCCACGGGGAAGUUUCAUAAGCCCAAAAGCAACUGCAAGCUUCUCACUGUGAGUAGACAAGGCAUAUUCUUUUUGGUCAAACUCCAUAUCAUGCAACACAAACUUUGUGUCAGGGACAUACCCUAAUUUUUUCAUUUCCUGGCACAGCUUAUCAAGAUAAUUGUAAACUGCAUGCACCUCAGGGUGCACAGCAUCAUCAACCAAGAAGACAUGGACCAUAUUUUCAACCUCGAGCCAACUACAACCAGGCUCCUUCUUAACCCCUCGGUCCCUCAUUAACUUCCGCACUUUCGCCACAUCAGCCCAUCUGCCUGCUACAGCAUACAUGUUUGACAAUUGUACAUAGGUUCCAUCAUGUUCAGGCUUCAGCUCAAAAAGCUGCUCGGCAGCUUUAAUGCCAAUAUCCAUGUUCCCGUGUAUCCGACAGCCAGCAAGAAGAGCCUCCCAAAUUGGAGCACCGGGCUCAACAGGCAUUGACUCCAUCACACUCUUUGCUUCUGAGAAUUUUCCAGCUCUACAUAACAAAUCAAUAACACGGGCAUAAUGAUCUUCACCUGGGAUUAUACCAUAAACAGCAUACAUUGAAUUGAAAUAAUGGUGACCUUCUUUAACUAAACCUGCAUGGCUACAAGCAGAGAGUACUGUAAGAAAGGUUAUCCGAUCAGGCAAUAUGCCUUCUGCCAACAUCUCUUCAAAAAGUUCAAUUGCUUGACCACCAUGGCCAUGUUGCCCCAGUGCUGCAAUCAUAGCAUUCCAUGAUACAGAAUCAACACAAGGCAUAGUAAGGAACAAAGAAUGAGCAGCUUCAACAACACCACAUCUUGCAUACAUUGUUAUGAGUGCAUUUCCUGCUGAAAGACUUGAAUCAAACCCAAACCUAACAAGUUGAGCAUGGAGCUGUCGUCCAUGCUCCAAUGUUCCAAGCACAGCACAAGAAGUAAUUGCUCCAGCAAAUGCAUAAUCGCAUGGUUCGAAGCCUAAUAUUUUCAUCUGGUUGAACAGUUUCAAACCCUCUUCCCCAAACCCAUUUUGAGCUAAGCCCGAUAUCAUUACAGUCCAUGUCAAUAUGUUUUUCUCAGGCAUCUCCUCAAAAAAGGAUUUAGCUUCUUUUAUCCGCCCAGCGUUCACAUAGCCGGAUAAAAUUGCAUUCCAUGAUACAAGGUCUCUCACCGGCAUAUAAUUAAAUAUCUCUCGGGCCUCAUAAACUCUACCACAUCUCCAAUAUAAAGUGAUCAAUGCAUUAUUCACAGGCAACGAAAAGUCUGGUGAAGGGUUGACCUCAGUUUUUAAUAUGUAAGCGUGCAACUCCUUACCAAGUUGAAAGAAACCAGCAUUCGCACAAACGCUAAUAAUACUAGUAAAUGUAAAUUCAUCCAAUUGCAUUCCUGAUAAAUACAUCUUCCUAAACAUCUCUAAUGCUUCUUUAUAUAACCCACGAUGCAUGUAGCCGGAAAUCAUUGCAUUCCACGCCACCACCAUUUUCUCACACAUCCCGCUCCCAUCAAAAAACUCUCUUGCUGAAUCGAGAUCAUCAUUCUUCACAUACCCAGUAAUAAUAGUAGUCCACGACAACUCAUCUUUCUCAGGCAUAUCAUCGAACAAUCUCCUAGCUACGCCCAUCAAGGACGAUGAUAUCACAGACGGCGAGGAUGCACACUUAACAUAAGUAGAUAUUAGCGCAUUCAACACUGAAGUAACAAACGCCGUCCCUGACUUCACCACCGCGCAAUGCAGCUGCAGGCACUGCCUUUCAUGUUCAGCAACAAGCGCCAAUGCACCAAUGACACUGGUAAAGGUAAAAUUAUCAGGGCUAAAGUCAUUCCUUCUCAUGUCACGAAAUAGUUCGAUAGCAGCAUGACCGUCAUUGUUGUGUGAGUAGGCAGUGAUCAUGGCGUUGUAGAAAACAGGGUCUCGCAUAUGUAACGGAGUUCCACAAAAUAUUUCUCUCGCAAGUUUUAGAUUCCCAGUUGUAGAGUAUGCAGAAAUCAACGUCGUUCUUGCAACAAUAUCUGGCUGGAGAAUUUCGUCGAACAGGUGGCGAGCGUAAGCGAGCAUUGAUGAUUUGCAAUAGAUAUGGAUCAAACGAUUGAGGAUGUGACCACAUGGCUUGAACCCAGAAGCUAUCAUGUGGGCAUGGACAGUACGGGCAAAGGAACAAGAUAUGGGGCUUUGAAGGCAACAUAAUUGAAGUUGGGAUGCGUAACGGUUCGCCCUGGCCUUGCUGGAGAACGAUCGAGUCACCAAGAAAGUGAAAAAUCGAGGACUAGAAUGGUGAGAAUACAUGAAAUAACCAAGAUUAUUAUUAUUGUGGCAAAGAACUCAUACCACGAUCAACAUGGAAUGGC
This 3513-nucleotide unclassified non-coding RNA is filed under the name Hevea brasiliensis (rubber tree). The record is from RNAcentral. Lineage: Eukaryota; Viridiplantae; Streptophyta; Magnoliopsida; Malpighiales; Euphorbiaceae.